UGGGGAAUAUUGGACAAUGGGCGCAAGCCUGAUCCAGCCAUGCCGCGUGAGUGAUGAAGGCCCUCGGGUUGUAAAGCUCUUUCACCGGUGAAGAUAAUGACGGUAACCGGAGAAGAAGCCCCGGCCAACUUCGUGCCAGCAGCCGCGGUAAUACGAAGGGGGCUAGCGUUGUUCGGAUUUACUGGGCGUAAAGCGCACGUAGGCGGACUAUUAAGUCAGGGGUGAAAUCCCGGGGCUCAACCCCGGAACUGCCUUUGAUACUGGUGGGCGUGAGUUCGAGGGAGGUGAGUGGAAUUCCGAGUGUAGAGGUGAGAUUCGUAGAUAUUCGGGGGAAAACCAGUGGCGAAGGCGGCUCACUGGCUCGAUAAUGACGCUGAGGUGCGAAAACGUGGGGAGCAAACAGG
This 404-nucleotide ribosomal RNA is filed under the name Actinomycetes bacterium. RNAcentral describes it as "Actinobacteria bacterium partial 16S ribosomal RNA". It matches the Rfam family "Bacterial small subunit ribosomal RNA", at positions 355 to 776 of the family's 1533-position model. The record is from RNAcentral. Lineage: Bacteria; Bacillati; Actinomycetota; Actinomycetes.